AGAGUGACCAGCUGUCUUGGUUUGCCUGGGACUGAGGCUGUUAGUGCUAAAAUAAGUCUAGGAAAGACCCAGAAGGGGUGAUUCAGUGU
Molecule: microRNA precursor, 89 nt
Filed under: Otolemur garnettii (small-eared galago)
Lineage: Eukaryota; Metazoa; Chordata; Mammalia; Primates; Galagidae
Description: miRNA (ENSOGAG00000021017.1)
Source: RNAcentral